AGAUUGGACAAUGGGGGGAACCCUGAUCCAGCCAUGCCGCGUGUGUGAAGAAGGCCUUUUGGUUGUAAAGCACUUUAAUCGAGGAGGAGGCUACUCGAGUUAAUACCUAGGGAUCGUGGACGUUCCUCGCUGAAUAGGCACCGGCUAACUCUGUUCCAGCAGCCGAGGUAAUACAGAGGGUGCAAGCGUUAAUCGGAUUUACUGGGCGUAAAGCGCGCGUAGGUGGCCAAUUAAGUCAGAUGUGAAAUCCCCGAGAUUAACUUGGGAAUUGCAUUCGAUACUGGUUGGCUAGAGUAUGGGAGAGGAUGGUAGAAUUCCAGGUGUAGCGGUGAAAUGCGUAGAGAUCUGGAGGAAUACCGAUGGCGAAGGCAGCCAUCUGGCCUAAUACUGACACUGAGGUGCGAAAGCAUGGGGAGCAAACAG
RNAcentral lists this ribosomal RNA (423 nucleotides) under uncultured bacterium. Its description in RNAcentral is "partial 16S ribosomal RNA". It matches the Rfam family "Bacterial small subunit ribosomal RNA", at positions 359 to 775 of the family's 1533-position model. The record is from RNAcentral.